RNAcentral lists this ribosomal RNA (460 nucleotides) under uncultured bacterium. RNAcentral's name for it is "partial 16S ribosomal RNA". It matches the Rfam family "Bacterial small subunit ribosomal RNA", at positions 338 to 795 of the family's 1533-position model. The record is from RNAcentral.
CCUACGGGAUGCAGCAGUGAGGAAUAUUGGUCAAUGGGCGCGAGCCUGAACCAGCCAAGUCGCGUGAAGGAUGACUGCCCUACGGGUUUUAAACUUCUUUUAUAAAGGAAUCAAGUGAGGCACGUGUUCCUUUUUGUAUGUACUUUAUGAAUAAGGAUAGGCUCACUCCGUGCCAGCAGCCGCGGUAAUACGGAGGAGCCGAGAGUUAUCCGGAUUUAUUGGGUUUAAAGGGAGCGUAGAUGGGCUGUUAAGUCAGGUGUGAAAGUUUGCGGCUCAACCGUAAAAUUGCAAUUGAUACUGGCAGCCUUGAGUACAGUUGAGGCAGGCGGAAUUCGUGGUGUAGCGGUGAAAUGCUUAGAUAUCACGAAGAACUCCGAUUGCGAAGGCAGCCUACUAAACUGCCACUGACAUUGAUGCUCGAAAGUGUGGGUAUCAAACAGGAUUAGAGACCCGGGUAGUC